RNAcentral lists this ribosomal RNA (775 nucleotides) under uncultured Neocallimastigales. Its description in RNAcentral is "partial large subunit ribosomal RNA". It matches the Rfam family "Eukaryotic large subunit ribosomal RNA", at positions 22 to 621 of the family's 3401-position model. Lineage: Eukaryota; Fungi; Neocallimastigomycota; Neocallimastigomycetes; Neocallimastigales. The record is from RNAcentral.
AUAUCAGUCAUGCAUAGCAUAUCAAUAAGCGGAGGAAAAGAAACUAACAAGGAUUCCCUUAGUAACGGCGAGUGAAGCGGGAAGAGCUCAAAUUUGAAAUCUUCAAGGUUUUACCUUGACGAAUUGUAGUUUAAAGAAGUGUUUUCUGUUGAAGUUUUGGUAAAAGUUCUUUGGAAUAGGACAUCAUAGAGGGUGAGAAUCCCGUAUUUGACCAUUACUUUCAGCUUUGUGAUACACUUUCAAAGAGUCGGAUUGUUUGGGAAUGCAGUCCAAAAUGGGUGGUAAAUUUCAUCUAAAGCUAAAUAUUGGCGAGAGACCGAUAGCGAACAAGUACCGUGAGGGAAAGAUGAAAAGAACUUUGAAAAGAGAGUUAAACAGUACGUGAAAUUGUCAAAAGGGAAGCGUUUGACACCAGUGUUGUUUUCUCGAAAAUCAAUUAAAAAGAGUUGGAUUUUGUGUUGUAUUGACUUUAUCAGCUUUCUUCACUCUUUUCCAGCUUUUUUUAAUGCACUUUUCGUUUAACAAGUCAACAUCAGUUUCUUUUGUUGUAAAAAGGUCAGUGGAAGGUGGCUUUCUCUUCGGAGAAAGUGUUUAUAGCCUUUGACUCAUGCAAUCGGAGAGACUGAGGUCUGCAGCGUAGAUCCUUCGGGGUUAGAUACAUUUGUGCUAAGUUAUAGCUUUUCAUAGACAACUUGUUGACUAUGUUUAGUCUUGUAGCUUACUCGCUUAUGCCUAUUUUACCUACGCUUAGGAUGUUGAACUCUAUCACACACAG